Molecule: long non-coding RNA, 1993 nt
Filed under: Marmota monax (woodchuck)
Lineage: Eukaryota; Metazoa; Chordata; Mammalia; Rodentia; Sciuridae
Source: RNAcentral
GCCUGACAUCUUCAGCCGCGGGGCUCCUGGACUUUAAAAUGUGUGUGAAAGGCUGGGGGUGUCGCUCGGAGGUAGAGCGCUGGCCUAGCAUGCAUGAGGCCCUGGAUUCCAUCCCCAGCACCAAACAAACAGAAGAGAGGGGAGAAGAGUCAAUUUUUUCCUUAGAAUUCCAAAAAGCCUGAGUAACCCCAGAGCCCUAGAAAGGAGCUUAACUCCUUUCCCAUCCCCCGCCCUCCACCCAGAGGAUAAUGUAUGGAAAAGUGAAAAAUAGCGACUUUGCAAUGGCAGACACCUGGCAGAUGCCACCUUAAGGAAACGUCAUAGUUCUCUCUCAUUGGUACCCAGAUGAAACGUCAUAGUUCUCUCUCAUUGGUACCAUGUGUCUUUCUGCUAGUAUCUGAGGACACCUCCUGUCUGUGGUUUCUUUCAGAAACUCAUCACCACAGGCUGUUGUUGAGAAAAAUAAAUAACAGACAAGCCCACAUCGAAGAACAGUCAACAGAAUACCCGACCAGUGCUCUACAAACGAAUCCAGAGUUGUUGUAGACUGGAGGGGACUGAGGAGGCAUGAGGACUGGAUGGUCCUGGACGCAAUUCUGUACCAGAAAGAGGCCGUGUGGAAAACUGAUGAAGUCUGGAGAAAGCCUUGAGUUUUGUAAAUAGCAACACAGCCAAGAAAUGCCUUUUCACGCUGGGCCUGGGGGUAAUCCCAGUGGCUCAGGAAGCUGAGGCAGGAGGAUGGGCAGCCUCAGUUCAAAAAGUUCAAAGCCAGCCUCAGCAACUUAGCAGGCGCUCAGUGAGACCCCCAUCUCUAAAUACAAUACAAAAUAGAGCUGAGCAUGUGGCUCAGUGGUGGGGUGCUCCUGAGUUCAAUCUCUGGUACCCUUCCCCCAAAAAAAUGCGUUUGUCUUCUUUUAUUUUAUUAUUUUUAUUAUUAUUUUUUUUGGUAAGAAAUGAGGUCUCGCCAUGUUGCCCAGGCUGGCCUUCAACUCCCAGUUCAAAUGAUCCCUGUUCCUCACCACAGCCGUCUGCCAAGCUGGAACUACAGAUGGGCACCACUGUACCCUAUUACUUUUUCUAUGCCUGCAUUUUUUUUUUUAAGAACUUUGAAUGAUAGGUGUAAAUUUUUUUUUUUUUUUGAGAGAGAGAGAGAGAGAAUCUUAAUAUUUAUUUAUUUAUUUUUUUAGUUUUCGGCGGACACAACAUCUUUGUAUGUGGUGCUGAGGAUUGAACCCGGGCUGCACGCAUGCCAGGCGAGCGUGCUACCGCUUGAGCCACAUCCCCAGGCCCUCUGUGCCUGCAUUUAUCUUUAGAAAAAUAGGAUACUUUUGGUACCAUUUGAUAACUUUUUUUAAAAAUUUAAUUUUUUUUUUAGUUUAAUGAUCUUCAUUGGCUUCACUUUCAAUUCUAGAAUUGGGCGAUGCUUCAGUCCAUUAAGUAGAGAAAGUGUUUCCUUAUAACUUUUUCAUUUAAGUGUUAGUGAAGCCAGAAUUAGACAGGCAGUCAGUGUAGAUAGGUAAAUCGAGUCAGGUCGGAUCAAGGAGGCCAAUUUUGAGUGAGUCUGGGGUGUUGGAGACUGUCCCCUGGGGGAUUAAAAUGUUAAUUCCUUCAGAGCCCUUCCUCUACUCUUAGCAAGAGCCUGCCCCUGCUCCAACCUGCUUCCAAGGUAACCUGUCGCAGGAAUUUGCUCUCCCUGCAGGAAGCCAUAAGGUUGUUAAUGUGCCCGGGGCUACUCACCCUGCUCUUCCCUCUUCAGCCCACCUGUUUCCCACUUUUGGUCCUCCCAUGGGGCAUUCCUGGGCCUUGUCACGUAUGCAGGAAGAAGGAUAGAAGGAUAAGGGGGAAAGGGCAGGAGAACAAAGGAAGCCCAGGACAGACACAGAAAAAGGGCAGAACGCCUCGCUUCUGGGGAUACCAGGAUACCAGCUACGGCCCCCUUCUCCCUCGCGGGCAAAGUCUGUUACCCCUUUUUAAAUAAACCCUGCUUUAUAUA